This 71-nucleotide transfer RNA is filed under the name Marmota marmota marmota (Alpine marmot). It matches the Rfam family "tRNA". From Rfam's summary of the family: Transfer RNA (tRNA) molecules are approximately 80 nucleotides in length. Their secondary structure includes four short double-helical elements and three loops (D, anti-codon, and T loops). Further hydrogen bonds mediate the characteristic L-shaped molecular structure. tRNAs have two regions of fundamental functional importance: the anti-codon, which is responsible for specific mRNA codon recognition, and the 3' end, to which the tRNAs corresponding amino acid is attached (by aminoacyl-tRNA synthetases). tRNAs cope with the degeneracy of the genetic code in two manners: having more than one tRNA (with a specific anti-codon) for a particular amino acid; and 'wobble' base-pairing, i.e. permitting non-standard base-pairing at the 3rd anti-codon position. The record is from Rfam by way of RNAcentral. RNAcentral also lists the same sequence under 1 other name. Lineage: Eukaryota; Metazoa; Chordata; Mammalia; Rodentia; Sciuridae.
GUGUUUGUGGCUCAGUGGUAGAGCACUUGCCUAGCAUGUAUGGGUCACUGGGCUCGAUCCUCAGCACCACA